Long non-coding RNA from Scophthalmus maximus (turbot), 423 nucleotides. RefSeq lists it as uncharacterized. The transcript has 3 exons. The record is from RefSeq and is a predicted model, not a curated record. NCBI's taxonomy places the organism in Eukaryota, Metazoa, Chordata, Actinopteri, Pleuronectiformes, Scophthalmidae.
AAGAGUACAGUAGGUCAAAGAUGUUCAUCACUGACUCGCGAUUGGUCGAGGAUGUGUAUCGGGAAGGGACUUUGAUCCCGCGGCUCCAAAGUACCACCAUCACGACUAAGAUGUCAGCCGCCCCUUAUGUCCAGUCUGCCUGCCUGCCCAGUGAGGGGUUGGGGAAGCACUCCAACCUUCUCUGUACUCGAUUGCUUUGACCUGAACUGUUCAUGCGGCUCGGCUAUUGCCAUCAACCUGUAUCUAUUUUGAUUUUGUCAUAAACAUAAAAUUAUGUCCUGGACACGGAGAGUGUUUGGCCCCGAUCAAGGAGCUGGAAGAGAGUCACGGUUUGAACAGCCUGACUGAAAGCCAUUGCUGUCAUCCUGACGCACACAAGUCUCUGAAGUUGGGCUUAUCGUGAUUGAGACAGUUCUCUUGCUU